UUUUAGACAUCGUAUGGCCAUCGCGCCAUCAUCGUAAUCCAUCGUGUAGCCUUCGUAAUCCAUCGUGUAGCCUUCGUGAUCCAUCGUGAAGGCUUCGGCUGAGAUAUGAAGCUUAAAUACCCGUCUUCGGUUAACCUUCGUAUGUCCAUCUUUUGCUAUCGUAUAUAAUUUCGACACCAUCGUAUAGACUUCGUUAUUCAUCGUACUUGCUUCGGUCACUUUUUGGUAUUUUAACGAGAUCGGGACCAACUUCGUACGAACUUACAAUUUUCGCAUUCGGGUGUCCAUCGUAUAUAAAAAUCGGGACAGUGUGACGCGG
RNAcentral lists this long non-coding RNA (319 nucleotides) under Mytilus galloprovincialis (Mediterranean mussel). Lineage: Eukaryota; Metazoa; Mollusca; Bivalvia; Mytilida; Mytilidae. The record is from RNAcentral.